This 73-nucleotide transfer RNA is filed under the name Camelus bactrianus (Bactrian camel). It matches the Rfam family "tRNA". From Rfam's summary of the family: Transfer RNA (tRNA) molecules are approximately 80 nucleotides in length. Their secondary structure includes four short double-helical elements and three loops (D, anti-codon, and T loops). Lineage: Eukaryota; Metazoa; Chordata; Mammalia; Artiodactyla; Camelidae. The record is from Rfam by way of RNAcentral. RNAcentral also lists the same sequence under 1 other name.
GAGUGUAUAGCUCAAGUGGUAGAGCACAUGCUUAGCAUGCACAAGGUCUUGGGUUCAAUUCCCAGUACCUCCU